UGGGGAAUUUUGGACAAUGGGCGCAAGCCUGAUCCAGCCAUGCCGCGUGUGUGAAGAAGGCCUUCGGGUUGUAAAGCACUUUCGGACGGAACGAAAUCGCGCGAGUUAAUAGCCCGCGUGGAUGACGGUACCGUAAGAAGAAGCACCGGCUAACUACGUGCCAGCAGCCGCGGUAAUACGUAGGGUGCGAGCGUUAAUCGGAAUUACUGGGCGUAAAGGGUGCGCAGGCGGCCCCGCAAGUCAGGCGUGAAAUCCCCGAGCUCAACUUGGGAAUGGCGCUUGAAACUACGGGGCUGGAGUGUGGCAGAGGGAGGUGGAAUUCCACGUGUAGCGGUGAAAUGCGUAGAUAUGUGGAGGAACACCGAUGGCGAAGGCAGCCUCCUGGGCCAACACUGACGCUCAUGCACGAAAGCGUGGGGAGCAAACAGGAUUAGAUACCCUGGUAGUCCACGCCCUAAACGAUGACGACUAGUUGUUGGAGGAGUUAAAUCCUUUAGUAACGAAGCUAACGCGCGAAGUCGUCCGCCUGGGGAGUACGGUCGCAAGAUUA
Molecule: ribosomal RNA, 550 nt
Filed under: uncultured bacterium
Lineage: Bacteria
Description: bacterial SSU rRNA
Rfam family: Bacterial small subunit ribosomal RNA
Source: RNAcentral